RNAcentral lists this unclassified non-coding RNA (410 nucleotides) under Hevea brasiliensis (rubber tree). The record is from RNAcentral. Lineage: Eukaryota; Viridiplantae; Streptophyta; Magnoliopsida; Malpighiales; Euphorbiaceae.
GAAAAUCUAAUAUAGAAAUAGAGUGAGAGAUGGAAAAUACCAAAAAAAUCACUAGAAACAUAUUGUUCAACCGUAGUUGAGAUAAUAUUCUUAAAAUCUUCUUUCACAAUGACAGCAUUACACCGCUGGUUGGCAAAAAUCAGAACUUCAAGAUAAGUUAAAAGUUUUGCUUAGGGUUAACAAUUCCAGAAAAGCGUUUGUAAAACCAUCCAAUCAGCGUACCUGUGUAUGUUCGCGCAAUAGCUGCAACAACUCCUAUCUUCUUCUUCUUGACUUCAUUAACGGCCGCAUCAAAGUUUAUUUUCACAUGUGAAGGAGUAGGAGGAGGCUGUCAAGAGGUAGGAGCAUGGCUUUCCCAGAUGAGAAGAGGUUAGCGUCCUAAAUAUUUGAUUAACAGCAAGGUAUACUUU